This is a non-coding RNA of Gekko japonicus, 384 nucleotides long. The record is from the annotation of a RefSeq genome assembly. NCBI's taxonomy places the organism in Eukaryota, Metazoa, Chordata, Lepidosauria, Squamata, Gekkonidae.
AUGCCCAGUAACAGUGGGCCCAAAUACAAGCAUGAGUUUUAUAUAUGGAGAAUGUUUGUGGAAUCUGAAAAUGUCCACUGCGAUGUUCAGCUCAGGGAAUCUGGACCAGCAUUUGUGAAACCUGGAGAAUCCAUCAGACUAACCUGUGCUAUCACCGGGGACCUUGUCACGAAUACAAAUGUGUACUGGGCUUGGAUCCGACAGGCUCCUGGGAAAGGACCUGAAUGGGUGGCAGAAAUAGACAUGUCUCCUAGUGGGUGGCGCAGGCGCUAUGCCCCAUCUCUCCAACUCUCCAUCUCUGCUGAUGCUGCCAAAAACGAAUACUACCUCCAGCUGACCUCCGUGACAGCUGCAGACACAGCCAGAUAUUAUUGUGCCCGAUAA